UUAGUUCUAAAAUUCCUUUUUGUUUUAUUUUUUAAACUGGGUUCCAUUGUGUAGAUCAGGCUGACCUCAGUCUUAGACUCCUGUUGCUGCUGCCUCCCCAACACUGGGAUUAAAGGCAUGCAACACCACACCCAGUUCUUCUGAAAUAACAAAAAACUGUGGAAAGCUAUAAAUAACUAAAAGUAAAGAACAGAAAGGAACUACAAUGGAGACAUUUUUAGAUGUGCAGUCUUUAAGGGAUUUAAUUGGUUUGGGACUUUGGCUUUUAACAGAUUUUUGUUUUGAAACAGGGCCUUGCUAUGUAACUUCUUGUGUUACAAAUGCAGUCUCACAUGUGUGGACCCUCUAUCUCCACCCCACUCUGCUUUGUACUCAAAGCUAGCUGGCCUUCCAACUUUUGCUGGCCUUCCAACUUUUGGGAUCUCUUCUGAGUCCUGUAGAAGUGUUGGGGUUACAUUUAUAAAUAAAUGAAUAUUCUGUGCAUUUGACUUGUUCUCAUGCUUUCACAGCAAACAGAUUUACUCAUUAAGUCAUCUCUAGCCCUGUGCUGGUAACUUUUAUUAAAGCCUUCAAGGUUUCAUGAGUGACAGAUUUUUUUUUAAAAAAUAUUAAUUUAUGGUUCUAAGGAUUGAUCAUAGGACCUCACAAAUUAAGUGCUCUACCAGUGAACUACAUUCCAGCUUCCAAAUGAAAUUAUUUAUAAAAAAAAGUUUGUGUGUAUGUCUGUGCACCACAUGUGUGCCUGAUGCCCACAGAGGCAGACAUUCAUUGAAACUGAAGUCACCAAUGGUUGUGAGCCACCAUGUGGGUGCUGGGAAUCGAUCCUCUGGCUAAGCAGUAUCUCCAGCCCCACCAAAUGAAACUUGUAAAGAAUAAUUGUCAACCCUGUCCUCAAACAUGUAUCUUAACACUGGUGUAAAAAUCUUCCCCUUGGGCUUGGAGUGUAGAUAUCUGUAGUAGAUAUUUGCUUAUCGUGUAUGAGACCCUGAGUUUGAAACUCAGGAGCCUGGUGAAAAACAUUUGAAAAGCCCUAAUCUUAUAAAUAAAUAUGAUGGUUCAUACCUGUAAUCUAAAGCUUCUGCAGCCUUUAUAAAUGAUGUUGACUUGAGAUUGAUAAUGAACUAUCCAUGCCAUCUGCCAGUAACAACAUCUAUUAUUGUUAUUUAAACAUAUUUAGUGUUUCUGACUUUGAUAAGACAUUUAGGUGUCAAUGAGAUGGCACAAUGGGUAGAGUUACUAGUGUGAUGACCUGAAUUUGAUCCUGGAGUCCACAAUGUGGCAGAAGAUAAUCGACUCUUCUACUUUUGUGUAUAUGAGUAUUUUGUCCCCAUGUAUACAGGUGCACUGCAUUCAUGUAUGAUGCCUACAGAGGCCAGUGUUGUGGAUACCCUGGAAUUGGAGAUACAGAUAGUUCAGUUAGUGAGAGCUGGGAGCCAAAUUCAGGUCUUCUGCUAAGCUAUCUCUCCACCUCUUAGAACUGACUUUUGAGAGUUAUGUACUGACUUUUAUACAUGUAAUAUGGCAUACACAUGCCUGCCCUCACAGCACAUACCUACCCAAAAGCAGAAAAAUCUAAAAAGUUCUUGCCUUUGCCAUCUUUUGUGUGGCUCAGAAGGAGAAUAUUAAAACGAUCGAGGUUUUGUAACUAUUUUUAGCUUUUUUAUGAGAUUAAAGUUUAAUGUAUAAUGAAUGAUAUUAUUACCUGCAUGUUUCUACUUUUUGGUUAUGUCUUAAACUACCACUUGUGAUUAAAUCACCAUCAAAUUAUUUGACAUCUCUAGUUCUUUUAAUUUGUUCUCUGUUGCUUUAGUUUUAUAGACUGUCUUGCCAUGACUGGCUUGGUACCCACUCUAUAGCUCAAGUUGAUCUAGAAAUUCCCUUUUUCAGCCUGCCAAGUACUGGUAUCACAAUAUGAACAACACAUUCAGACUUAAAAAACAAUUUUUAAAGAUUUAUUUAUUUAUUUAUUUUAUAUGAAUACACUGUAGUUGUCUUCACACACACCAGAAGGGGUCAUCAGAUCCCAUUACAGAUGGUUGUGAGCUGCCAUGUGAUUGCUGGGAAUUGAACUCUGGAAGAGCAGCCAGUGCUCGUAACUGCUGAGCCAUUUCUACUGCCCAACAAAUGUGUGUGUGUGUGUGUGUGUGUGUGUGUGUGUUUUAAUAUUUAUUUAUUAUAUGUAAGUACACUGUAGCUGUUUUCAGACACUCCAGAAGAGAGCAUCAGAUCUUGUUACAAAUGGUUGUUAGCCACCAUGUGGUUGCUGGGAUUUGAACUCAUGACCUUUGGAAAAGCAGUCAGUGCUCAUAACCACUGAGCCAUCUCUCCAGCCCCAACAAAUGUGUUUUUAAGAAAUGAUUAUUUUAUAUAAUUGAGAACAUAACUUAAGAUGUGACAAUAAUGGAUACCUUUUAACAGUCGCCCCCCCCCCUUUGGCAUAUUUCAGUUCUUUUUUAAAGGUAUGAAGAAAUGUGUCAGACAAUGCCAGGUGUCUUCAGGAAUGCCUUAAAUCUUCUUGAUACCAGGUCUCAUUUGGCCUGACAUCACCGGAUUAGACUACAAUGGUUAGCUAAGCAAGACCCCCUUCUCUGAUUCAGUGCAGAGAUUAUAAACUCCUACCACUCUCUGCCCCAGCCUUUUUAAACUUUACCUCAGGGGAUUAAACUCAAGUUUUUGUGUUUGCAGGGCAAGCACUUUACUGUCUGAACAGUCAACCUAGACCUAGUAUUUUAAUU
Molecule: long non-coding RNA, 2735 nt
Filed under: Mus musculus (house mouse)
Lineage: Eukaryota; Metazoa; Chordata; Mammalia; Rodentia; Muridae
Description: long non-coding RNA chr18:35565548-35568283
Source: RNAcentral